GUCUUCAAAUGCGUCAUUGUUUCUAUGGAUAGUCAAUAUAAAAUAUAUAGUAAAUAAAAAUUAUGAAGAGAAUCCGACUAAAAUUUGCCCACUCACAGUUUUCCCGAUUGGAGUUGCAGAAGUGUCACCCGAAUGCAAGCUAAACGAUAGCAUCCGAAAUUAUAAUAAAUUUAAUUCCGCAAAACUGGUGGGAGUAAAGGGAGAGUUAGGUAGCCAUUUUAACAAAUAUACCGAAGAGCGUGAAACCCGCGGAGUGGCAACAGGGGCGCAGGUCGAUAAAAUGAAACUGUACAACCUUCUGCUCGCCAGAAAAUGGAAAAUCAACUAAAUACUAGAGACUGGAAUCCCGGGAAAUAAAGAUCGGAAUUGCGAGCCCUUUUAGACGAACGCACGCGGUUAAGAACGUUCUCAACAAAACAUGUUCUGCAGUGCAUUUGCCAGAUCUCAACAGGUGCCACAAAUGUUCUAUGAGGUUGAAUAUGCAAUGGAUAUAAGGAAGACAAUAUGAAGAAAGAUGUAAACAUAAUGCUUCAUCUGUUCAGGUAUAC
This is a long non-coding RNA of Cylas formicarius (sweet potato weevil), 548 nucleotides long. RefSeq lists it as uncharacterized. NCBI's taxonomy places the organism in Eukaryota, Metazoa, Arthropoda, Insecta, Coleoptera, Brentidae. The record is from RefSeq and is a predicted model, not a curated record. The transcript is spliced from 4 exons.